Molecule: ribosomal RNA, 47 nt
Filed under: Cytospora sp. 15 HH6
Lineage: Eukaryota; Fungi; Ascomycota; Sordariomycetes; Diaporthales; Cytosporaceae
Description: partial 28S ribosomal RNA
Source: RNAcentral
UUGACCUCGGAUCAGGUAGGAAUACCCGCUGAACUUAAGCAUAUCUA